UUAGCUGCUGAGCACAAAGGCAGGAGGCAGGCGCCGCCUGCGGUGCACACACCUGACGGUGUGCCGUGGGGGCAGUUCCACCCGCGUCCGCAAGGACACGUCCAGCCCAAGUCGAAAUUGGUGCCAGGGAUUAGCGUGCGCUCCUGGGGGCGUCCGGCUGACCGCAGCGCAGCAAGAAUCGGCAUCUCCAGACUUUCCUCUUUAGUUUCUUCUGAUGGUUCAGCAGCAGUUUGAUAUGAAUCCAGCAGAGAACUUAUCUGAGCACUCAGGAAAGAAGGCCCGGCCCUUUGAAGCGCCCCACAGAGCCAUGUGUGUGCACCCCAUCAUGGGCUGCCCUGCCAAUCCUCCUGCAUGGGCCCCGAGGCAUCUUGGCUGCAGUAUCCCCACGUCUGGCAGCUAGAAUGUGAAUAAGGAGCCGGUCAGCUAGCCUUGACCACAGAGAUGAAGACACUCUGAGCAACAAGAUAGAAAGACCCUGGGUCUCCGGACAACCUCACGCAGCAGAGCUGUCACCCACUUACCUCCAGUCUGUUGCAUGAGAAAGAAACACACUUCCGUCUGGUUACAACACUCUGUUGGCCGGGUGUGUGGGGGGGGGGGCGGGGGGGUCACAUAU
Molecule: long non-coding RNA, 616 nt
Organism: Suricata suricatta (meerkat)
Lineage: Eukaryota; Metazoa; Chordata; Mammalia; Carnivora; Herpestidae
Exons: 3
Source: RefSeq, a predicted model, not a curated record